This 834-nucleotide ribosomal RNA is filed under the name Salmonella enterica subsp. enterica serovar Thompson. Its description in RNAcentral is "bacterial LSU rRNA". It matches the Rfam family "Bacterial large subunit ribosomal RNA", at positions 690 to 1439 of the family's 2925-position model. The record is from RNAcentral. Lineage: Bacteria; Pseudomonadati; Pseudomonadota; Gammaproteobacteria; Enterobacterales; Enterobacteriaceae.
GGGCGUUAAGUUGCAGGGUAUAGACCCGAAACCCGGUGAUCUAGCCAUGGGCAGGUUGAAGGUUGGGUAACACUAACUGGAGGACCGAACCGACUAAUGUUGAAAAAUUAGCGGAUGACCUGUGGCUGGGGGUGAAAGGCCAAUCAAACCGGGAGAUAGCUGGUUCUCCCCGAAAGCUAUUUAGGUAGCGCCUCGUGAAUUCAUCUCCGGGGGUAGAGCACUGUUUCGGCUAGGGGGCCAUCCCGGCUUACCAACCCGAUGCAAACUGCGAAUACCGGAGAAUGUUAUCACGGGAGACACACGGCGGGUGCUAACGUCCGUCGUGAAGAGGGAAACAACCCAGACCGCCAGCUAAGGUCCCAAAGUCAUGGUUAAGUGGGAAACGAUGUGGGAAGGCCCAGACAGCCAGGAUGUUGGCUUAGAAGCAGCCAUCAUUUAAAGAAAGCGUAAUAGCUCACUGGUCGAGUCGGCCUGCGCGGAAGAUGUAACGGGGCUAAACCAUGCACCGAAGCUGCGGCAGCGAACGUAUCACUUAAAGCGAUUCAGCGGGUUACGAUUGACGGAGCGAAGCGACGUCAAAGCGUAUACAAAGUCGAGUCGGUUUAAGGAUACGUUCGUUGGGUAGGGGAGCGUUCUGUAAGCCUGUGAAGGUGGCCUGUGAGGGUUGCUGGAGGUAUCAGAAGUGCGAAUGCUGACAUAAGUAACGAUAAAGCGGGUGAAAAGCCCGCUCGCCGGAAGACCAAGGGUUCCUGUCCAACGUUAAUCGGGGCAGGGUGAGUCGACCCCUAAGGCGAGGCCGAAAGGCGUAGUCGAUGGGAAACAGGUUAAUAUUCC